RNAcentral lists this ribosomal RNA (338 nucleotides) under Prymnesium parvum. RNAcentral's name for it is "partial Bacterial small subunit ribosomal RNA". It matches the Rfam family "Bacterial small subunit ribosomal RNA", at positions 22 to 361 of the family's 1533-position model. The record is from RNAcentral. Lineage: Eukaryota; Haptophyta; Prymnesiales; Prymnesiaceae.
GCUCAGAUUGAACGCUGGCGGCAGGCCUAACACAUGCAAGUCGAGCGGGAUUUGGUAGCUUGCUACCGAUGAGAGCGGCGCACGGGUGCGUAACGCGUAUACAACCUACCUUUUGCUACGGGAUAGCCCAGGGAAACUUGGAUUAACACCGUAUAGUAUAAGGCCCCCUCAUGGGGGCCUUAUUAAAGGCUACGGCAAAAGAUGGGUAUGCGUCCUAUUAGCUAGAUGGUAAGGUAACGGCUUACCAUGGCAACGAUAGGUAGGGGCCCUGAGAGGGGGAUCCCCCACACUGGUACUGAGACACGGACCAGACUCCUACGGGAGGCAGCAGUGGGGAA